This 753-nucleotide ribosomal RNA is filed under the name Vreelandella aquamarina. RNAcentral describes it as "bacterial SSU rRNA". It matches the Rfam family "Bacterial small subunit ribosomal RNA", at positions 35 to 789 of the family's 1533-position model. Lineage: Bacteria; Pseudomonadati; Pseudomonadota; Gammaproteobacteria; Oceanospirillales; Halomonadaceae. The record is from RNAcentral.
GCUUGGCGGCAGCUACACAUGCAGUCGAGCGGUAACAGAUCCAGCUUGCUGGAUGCUGACGAGCGGCGGACGGGUGAGUAAUGCAUAGGAAUCUGCCCGAUAGUGGGGGAUAACCUGGGGAAACCCAGGCUAAUACCGCAUACGUCCUACGGGAGAAAGGGGGCUUCGGCUCCCGCUAUCGGAUGAGCCUAUGUCGGAUUAGCUAGUUGGUGAGGUAACGGCUCACCAAGGCCACGAUCCGUAGCUGGUCUGAGAGGAUGAUCAGCCACAUCGGGACUGAGACACGGCCCGAACUCCUACGGGAGGCAGCAGUGGGGAAUAUUGGACAAUGGGGGGAACCCUGAUCCAGCCAUGCCGCGUGUGUGAAGAAGGCCCUCGGGUUGUAAAGCACUUUCAGCGAGGAAGAACGCCUAGCGGUUAAUACCCGCUAGGAAAGACAUCACUCGCAGAAGAAGCACCGGCUAACUCCGUGCCAGCAGCCGCGGUAAUACGGAGGGUGCAAGCGUUAAUCGGAAUUACUGGGCGUAAAGCGCGCGUAGGUGGCUUGAUAAGCCGGUUGUGAAAGCCCCGGGCUCAACCUGGGAACGGCAUCCGGAACUGUCAAGCUAGAGUGCAGGAGAGGAAGGUAGAAUUCCCGGUGUAGCGGUGAAAUGCGUAGAGAUCGGGAGGAAUACCAGUGGCGAAGGCGGCCUUCUGGACUGACACUGACACUGAGGUGCGAAAGCGUGGGUAGCAAACAGGAUUAGAUUCCGG